This 1184-nucleotide ribosomal RNA is filed under the name Jattaea mucronata. RNAcentral describes it as "bacterial SSU rRNA". It matches the Rfam family "Eukaryotic small subunit ribosomal RNA", at positions 231 to 1096 of the family's 1831-position model. Lineage: Eukaryota; Fungi; Ascomycota; Sordariomycetes; Calosphaeriales; Calosphaeriaceae. The record is from RNAcentral.
CUUCGGGGGNCCCUGGUGAUUCAUGAUAAUUCUCGAAUCGCAUGGCCUUNGCCCGGCGAUGGUUCAUUCAAAUUUUUGCCCUAUCAACUUUGGACGGCUGGGUUUUGGCCAGCCAUGGUGACAACGGGUAACGGAGGGUUAGGGCUCGACCCCGGAGAAGGAGCCUGAGAAACGGCUACUACAUCCAAGGAAGGCAGCAGGCGCGCAAAUUACCCAAUCCCGACUCGGGGAGGUAGUGACAAAAAAUACUGAUACAGGGCUCUUUUGGGCCUUGUAAUUGGAAUGAGUACAAUUUAAAUCCCUUAACGAGGAACAAUUGGAGGGCAAGUCUGGUGCCAGCAGCCGCGGUAAUUCCAGCUCCAAUAGCGUAUAUUAAAUUUGCUGAGGUUGAAAAGCUCGUAGUUGAACCUUGGGCCUGGCUGGCCGGUCCGCCUCACCGCGUGCACUGGUCCGGCCGGGCCUUUCCCUCUGGGGAACCGCAUGCCCUUCACUGGGCGUGUCGGGGAACCAGGACUUUUACUGUGAAAAAAUUAGAGUGUUCAAAGCAGGCCUAUGCUCGAAUACAUUAGCAUGGAAUAAUAGAAUAGGACGUGCGGUUCUAUUUUGUUGGUUUCUAGGACCGCCGUAAUGAUUAAUAGGGACAGUCGGGGGCAUCAGUAUUCAAUUGUCAGAGGUGAAAUUCUUGGAUUUAUUGAAGACUAACUACUGCGAAAGCAUUUGCCAAGGAUGUUUUCAUUAAUCAGGAACGAAAGUUAGGGGAUCGAAGACGAUUAACCGGUGGCGAGAGCCGCGUAUCUGGUCGUCGAAAGUGCAGCGAGGCUACGGCCCCUGUGCUAGUCUGCCUCACGGCAGGCGACACCGUCAAAUUGCGGGGACCUCCUAAAGACGCUCGACACACCUGCAGGCCUGAAAAGGACACCUGCAGUCGUAAAAGCUCGAGCGUAUGACGGGCCUAGGCCCUGAAAUGGACAAUCCGCAGCCAAGCCCUAAAGCCUCAACGGUCCAAGGGUGCAGUUCACAGACUAGAUGUCGGUGGGGGGCCUCGCAGCCUCAUAAGAUAUAGUCGAUUCCGCGGCGAAAGUCGCGGGCUGGUAAUGCAGAUACCGUCGUAGUCUUAACCAUAAACUAUGCCGACUAGGGAUCGGACGGUGUUAUUUUUUGACCCGUUCGGCACCUUACACGAA